GACGAACGCUGGCGGCGUGCCUAAUACAUGCAAGUAGAACGCUGAAGAAGAGGAGCUUGCUCUUCUUGGAUGAGUUGCGAACGGGUGAGUAACGCGUAGGUAACCUGCCUUGUAGCGGGGGAUAACUACUGGAAACGAUAGCUAAUACCGCAUAACAAUGGAUGACACAUGUCAUUUAUUUGAAAGGGGCAAUUGCUCCACUACAAGAUGGACCUGCGUUGUAUUAGCUAGUAGGUGAGGUAACGGCUCACCUAGGCGACGAUACAUAGCCGACCUGAGAGGGUGAUCGGCCACACUGGGACUGAGACACGGCCCAGACUCCUACGGGAGGCAGCAGUAGGGAAUCUUCGGCAAUGGGGGCAACCCUGACCGAGCAACGCCGCGUGAGUGAAGAAGGUUUUCGGAUCGUAAAGCUCUGUUGUAAGUCAAGAACGAGUGUGAGAGUGGAAAGUUCACACUGUGACGGUAGCUUACCAGAAAGGGACGGCUAACUACGUGCCAGCAGCCGCGGUAAUACGUAGGUCCCGAGCGUUGUCCGGAUUUAUUGGGCGUAAAGCGAGCGCAGGCGGUUUGAUAAGUCUGAAGUUAAAGGCUGUGGCUCAACCAUAGUUCGCUUUGGAAACUGUCAAACUUGAGUGCAGAAGGGGAGAGUGGAAUUCCAUGUGUAGCGGUGAAAUGCGUAGAUAUAUGGAGGAACACCGGUGGCGAAAGCGGCUCUCUGGUCUGUAACUGACGCUGAGGCUCGAAGGCGUGGGGAGCGAACAGGAUUAGAUACCCUGGUAGUCCACGCCGUAAACGAUGAGUGCUAGGUGUUGGAUCCUUUCCGGGAUUCAGUGCCGCAGCUAACGCAUUAAGCACUCCGCCUGGGGAGUACGACCGCAAGGUUGAAACUCAAAGGAAUUGACGGGGGCCCGCACAAGCGGUGGAGCAUGUGGUUUAAUUCGAAGCAACGCGAAGAACCUUACCAGGUCUUGACAUCCCGAUGCUAUUUCUAGAGAUAGAAAGUUACUUCGGUACAUCGGUGACAGGUGGUGCAUGGUUGUCGUCAGCUCGUGUCGUGAGAUGUUGGGUUAAGUCCCGCAACGAGCGCAACCCCUAUUGUUAGUUGCCAUCAUUCAGUUGGGCACUCUAGCGAGACUGCCGGUAAUAAACCGGAGGAAGGUGGGGAUGACGUCAAAUCAUCAUGCCCCUUAUGACCUGGGCUACACACGUGCUACAAUGGUUGGUACAACGAGUUGCGAGUCGGUGACGGCAAGCUAAUCUCUUAAAGCCAAUCUCAGUUCGGAUUGUAGGCUGCAACUCGCCUACAUGAAGUCGGAAUCGCUAGUAAUCGCGGAUCAGCACGCCGCGGUGAAUACGUUCCCGGGCCU
RNAcentral lists this ribosomal RNA (1370 nucleotides) under uncultured bacterium. RNAcentral's name for it is "bacterial SSU rRNA". It matches the Rfam family "Bacterial small subunit ribosomal RNA", at positions 28 to 1381 of the family's 1533-position model. The record is from RNAcentral.